RNAcentral lists this ribosomal RNA (252 nucleotides) under uncultured Bacteroidales bacterium. RNAcentral's name for it is "partial 16S ribosomal RNA". It matches the Rfam family "Bacterial small subunit ribosomal RNA", at positions 524 to 776 of the family's 1533-position model. Lineage: Bacteria; Pseudomonadati; Bacteroidota; Bacteroidia; Bacteroidales. The record is from RNAcentral.
UACGGCGGAUGCGAGCGUUAUCCGGAUUUAUUGGGUUUAAAGGGUGCGCAGGCGGCCUGUUAAGUCAGCGGUAAAAGCCCGGGGCUCAACCCCGGCGAGCCGUUGAAACUGGCGGGCUGGAGUUGGAGAGAAGUACGCGGAAUGCGCGGUGUAGCGGUGAAAUGCUUAGAUAUACGGAGGAACACCAGUGGCGAAGGCGGCCUGCUGGACAAUAACUGACGCUGAGGCGCGAAAGCGUGGGGAGCAAACAGG